GAUCCUGGCUCAGGACGAACGCUGGCGGCGUGCUUAACACAUGCAAGUCGAACGAGAAUCUGCUGAAGGAGGAUUCGUCCAACGGAAGUAGAGGAAAGUGGCGGACGGGUGAGUAACGCGUGAGGAACCUGCCUUGAAGAGGGGGACAACAGUUGGAAACGACUGCUAAUACCGCAUGAAGCAUAGGGGUCGCAUGAUUCUUAUGCCAAAGAUUUAUCGCUUCAAGAUGGCCUCGCGU
This 238-nucleotide ribosomal RNA is filed under the name uncultured bacterium. Its description in RNAcentral is "partial 16S ribosomal RNA". It matches the Rfam family "Bacterial small subunit ribosomal RNA", at positions 15 to 236 of the family's 1533-position model. The record is from RNAcentral.